RNAcentral lists this long non-coding RNA (419 nucleotides) under Prunus persica (peach). RNAcentral describes it as "long non-coding RNA (PPER_LNC008588)". The record is from RNAcentral. Lineage: Eukaryota; Viridiplantae; Streptophyta; Magnoliopsida; Rosales; Rosaceae.
GGAAACAAUCCAACACGGAGACUGUUUUGACUAGACAUAUGGUAGAAAUGCAUUACUCUAUGACUAAGGACGAGCAGUCCAACCGGGGGACUAUUGCUUCCCAGCACACACGGCAAAAUCGCAUUACCGUGAGGCUGAAUCCUUUCAUAGGCGUGCAGACUGCCCCGUUAAGGGUGGCCGGGUCCCGACACCUCAGAAGAGUUACCGCGUGUCAAAUAUAUCCAAGUAUCUAGUAACAAGGGAGGUACAUAUAAUAGUGCAAUCAAUACCCGAUAUGCCAAAACCAAUAUUCCAAAAUCAUAGCCCAACAAAAUGUACCAAUUCCCCCCCCCAAAAAAAAAAAAAAUUUUUAAUUUCCAAUAAUCAUCUCUGAAAUCCAUAUUCUCAAAUUCACAAUAAUCAAUUCCAUACACAUCUCG